RNAcentral lists this ribosomal RNA (258 nucleotides) under uncultured bacterium. RNAcentral's name for it is "partial 16S ribosomal RNA". It matches the Rfam family "Bacterial small subunit ribosomal RNA", at positions 524 to 776 of the family's 1533-position model. The record is from RNAcentral.
UACGUAGGGGGCGAGCGUUGUCCGGAAUCAUUGGGCGUAAAGAGCUCGUAGGCGGUUCAGUAAGUCAGGUGUGAAAGCUCCGAGCUCAACUCGGAGAGGCCACCUGAUACUGCUGUGACUAGAAUCCAGUAGGGGAGUGUGGAACUCCUGGUGUAGCGGUGAAAAUGCGCAGAUAUCAGGAGGAACACCGAUGGCGAAGGCAGGCCUCUGGGCAUUAAACUGACGCUGGAGGAGCGAAAAGCGUGGGGAGCGAACAGG